CUGGAAAGUUCGUAAAAAGCUCAUUAUAAAUAAAUAGCUUUGGACAAUUUCACACAGCGCUAUCUAGCCCCAAAUUAAGCAAUUAAUAAUAGGGGGCGGGAGGGGGGACGCCCUACUCGAACAAAAAUUGGCACUUUAAUAUUUUGCAAACGGAUCCCGAAAUCGAAUUAUAGUCUUAAAAACCCCUAAGCCAUUUUAAAAGACCUAUCCAACGAUGCUCCACUCGAUGGAAUAGAAGAUGAAAAAAAAAUCAUCCCCACUUUACAUGCCUAUAUUCCCACUCGCCCCCGCGGGGAUUGCCACCAGAGGCAAAUGGAGCAAUUAUUUCUUUUAAAUUUUAUUCUACCACUUUGUAGGCAUUAUUAAUAUACAUACCUCCACAAAAUUACAGCUCUCUAGUGCCAAUACUUUCCAAGCAAAACCUCGGAUGGAUAGACAGACAGACAGACAUAACGAAACUAUAAGGGUUCUUUGUCAGGACUACGGAACCCUAAAAAAACAGUUCUUAUGCCAUAAGAACUUAGAUGUAAUUAACUUGCGUGCAAUCGCCAUAAUAUGUAUUUUGCCUUAUAAAUAUUACUUAAUAAUACAUUACUGAAUUAAAGAUGCCACAAGCAUAUUUAGCUAAGUACGAGGGGCUAAUGGGACUUAUUAGUAAUUUGUGCAAAACAAAUUACUAAUAUUCUUCUUAAAAAAUAUCGACUUGUUCAAUGGACAGAACAGCAGACAUGAAAAUUAUUGCAUCGCGAUAUUGUUACUUCUUUCUUAAUAACUAAUUUUAAAUAAUUAUUGCUGAAAAUUCAAUUUGUACUCUCAAAUGUUCUUCCCUAGGUUAUCUAUCUAGGUAUACUACUACAAAUUACUUGUAUUUUGAACGCUUACUUGCGGCAACAGUUCUCCACAAAGUGUCUUAUUUUGUAAGUGAUCGCAUAAGUGCUUUACAAAAUAUAAUAACGAAGUCAGUACUAUUGACGGAAGGACAAUAUUGACAAAAAAAUCUCAUUAAUUUAAAAUUCGAAAAAAAUUUUGCGCUCAUCACCAAAUAAAAUUAAUCAAACAAUUUGUAUUUGCCGGCAUGUCAAACUGAAACAUUUAAAAGUUCUAAAUUUAUUAAAUGACCUUUUUUUUACUUGUUGGCAACUGUAUUUUAAGUACUAAUUUCACCAUAAUAUGGUUGUUAAUAUUAACAGGGCUGUUAUGGUGCGUCCACACUGAGCGAACGGGCUCGCGCGGCAAACUCGACAUCCUGCUCACUCAAGACCAGGGUGAGCAGGAUGACCAGCGUGCCGCGCUGAUAUGUCUCACGGGAUGAAUACAACAGACCAUUAUCAAACCAAAAAUUUUACUAAAUAUUAAUUUGCUAGUCGUUUACUCUUUUUUCAAGCAACCGAAUCUCCAUUCAUAAAAAGCGGUGAUUAGAUGUAAUUGCCUCGUCAUGAAUUUAAUACCUUGCAACACGUGGUGGACACUUGAACUUUGACAGCCCGGUUGGUGAUUUUACAGUACGUUUAAUAUUUAGUCUA
Long non-coding RNA from Ostrinia furnacalis (Asian corn borer), 1523 nucleotides. RefSeq lists it as uncharacterized. The transcript is spliced from 2 exons. The record is from RefSeq and is a predicted model, not a curated record. Lineage: Eukaryota; Metazoa; Arthropoda; Insecta; Lepidoptera; Crambidae.